This 741-nucleotide ribosomal RNA is filed under the name Rothia mucilaginosa. RNAcentral's name for it is "bacterial SSU rRNA". It matches the Rfam family "Bacterial small subunit ribosomal RNA", at positions 28 to 776 of the family's 1533-position model. Lineage: Bacteria; Bacillati; Actinomycetota; Actinomycetes; Micrococcales; Micrococcaceae. The record is from RNAcentral.
GACGAACGCUGGCGGCGUGCUUAACACAUGCAAGUCGAACGAUGAAGCCUAGCUUGCUAGGUGGAUUAGUGGCGAACGGGUGAGUAAUACGUGAGUAACCUACCUUUAACUCUGGGAUAAGCCUGGGAAACUGGGUCUAAUACCGGAUACGACCAAUCUCCGCAUGGGGUGUUGGUGGAAAGCGUUAUGUAGUGGUUAUAGAUGGGCUCACGGCCUAUCAGCUUGUUGGUGAGGUAACGGCUCACCAAGGCGACGACGGGUAGCCGGCCUGAGAGGGUGACCGGCCACACUGGGACUGAGACACGGCCCAGACUCCUACGGGAGGCAGCAGUGGGGAAUAUUGCACAAUGGGCGCAAGCCUGAUGCAGCGACGCCGCGUGAGGGAUGACGGCCUUCGGGUUGUAAACCUCUGUUAGCAGGGAAGAAGAGAAAUUGACGGUACCUGCAGAGAAAGCGCCGGCUAACUACGUGCCAGCAGCCGCGGUAAUACGUAGGGCGCGAGCGUUGUCCGGAAUUAUUGGGCGUAAAGAGCUUGUAGGCGGUUUGUCGCGUCUGCUGUGAAAGGCCGGGGCUUAACCCCGUGUAUUGCAGUGGGUACGGGCAGACUAGAGUGCAGUAGGGGAGACUGGAAUUCCUGGUGUAGCGGUGGAAUGCGCAGAUAUCAGGAGGAACACCGAUGGCGAGGGCAGGUCUCUGGGCUGUAACUGACGCUGAGAAGCGAAAGCAUGGGGAGCGAACAGG